RNAcentral lists this long non-coding RNA (2887 nucleotides) under Homo sapiens (human). RNAcentral's name for it is "HSALNT0158819". Lineage: Eukaryota; Metazoa; Chordata; Mammalia; Primates; Hominidae. The record is from RNAcentral.
CUCCAGGACUCCAGAUACAAGCCUAAGUGCCUGGUUCACUACUGUAUUCUGCUUCAUGUUAUCUCUUUUGAAGAAAAGCCUAGUUGGGUUUCAUAUUUCAAAACUUUUUCUUGUGAAAUCUCUCAUCCACUUCAUCUCUAAUUGAAAAUGCCUCGCUCUGGAAAUCACAAACUUUUGUUGUUUGUUUGAUUCAAAAUAAAUCAAAGUGACUUAAUUUUGACCACUCACAUGAAGACUGAAAACCUUUAUAACCAUCAUGGAAAUUACAGAAGAUGCACAUUACAACUAGCAAGGGUGAGGACGGUGUAGCUUCGUCUCCUUCCUCUCUCAGACGUAUCGUAGAGAAGAUGGAUCUUUCCUUCCGCCAUCUCUGCUAAUUGAUGAUGUUUGAGCUCUUCCUUGGGGAAGACAUCAGCAGUUCAUUCACUGCAGUUGCCAAUCAUUGAAUCAGAAACCAGAAGACUUAAAUACAUUCCUGAGAGACUCUCAUGAAGACGGAAUUAAAAUGCUCCCUAACUGCUGAUACCUUAUGGGAAUUCCAGGGAAGUAGAUGCAGGGAUGGCAGUUUCCCAACAGUCAGAUGCACCUGUUCUACUGAGAUUUUUUUCAUUUAUUAUUUCAAAUUCAAGAGCUUAUGAAAAUAAGUUCGUAUACUGUCAGGCUCAAAACGAAUAUUUGCAAGAUGGAGGAAGACAAAAAGACCUAGAGGAUCCUGAAGCUUUUCCCCACCUAAACAGUGUCCACAGAUACAACUUCUUGGGUGUUCAAAAUUUUAUAAGCCAGUUAAGUAUGCUCUAAUCACAUUUGGAAUGGGCGAAAGGUAUGGUUUCCUUUUGAAAACAAGAAAGGUGAUUGUGAACUCAAUUGAACACAGAUCGUGAACAUUUCCAGGCAGUUUUAGAAAAGGGUAUGGGCCUAUUAUCUAACAAGGGCAUUCUGCCGCUUGUCAAGUCUGUCUCUCCUAAUGGCAUAUGCAAAAGUGGGAAAUGAAAUCCAGAUACAUUUGUGGACCCACUGGAUACACCAGGCAACAGAGUCAGGCCAGAAACCUGUUUAUUACCCAGCUCUGCUAUGUCCCCACUGUGACUGCUGGAUUUCAAGGCAACUUGACUCCCUCAGGAUUUGUGUCGGCUCAGAGUCAGGAGUCAGUCAUCACAAAUAGCCUACAUCCUUUUCUGAAAGGCACAGUUUCUCUACCUGAUGACUUCAGCUCCCUUUGAGAAAGGAUAGAAGGAGGAUUAACAGUAUACAUUCAUGACAGCAUAGCAGGUUGUUUUCCCGAGAGAACCCACUAUCCUUCCAUCCUGCAGAGGGUGUCUCCAAGGUGGUGAUGCUUCCCUCACCAAAAUACUCCUUCAUGCUUCUUUGGAAAGAAUGUCCUGUGAGCUCUCCUAGGACACACAAUGAGGAGGUGGGUGAGUCACUCACACAUUAUAAAUCUACUCCAACAUUCCUGUUUCCCUAAGCCUUUAGAUUUAUCCUUCUACAUUAUAACAAGGAAAUACGACAUCUCAGCUUCCUUUGAUGUAGACUAACACAGAGUCCCGGUUUCGUGAGCAAAUCAUGAGAGCACUUCCCAGUUGCUUAAGCUAACAUAUGGAAUUCAGAAUCUCUCAUGAGGACAACCAUAUUGAUAUAUUUGGCCCUUCCAAAAUUAUUUUCCUUCCACCAUGGACAAAUACACUUAUAUUCCAUUUCUACUCAUGUAUCUUAAUUUCUGCUGAUACAAGCUAACCACAUUUUGCAAUUAUUUCAGAGUAUAAACUGAUCCCUCUCAUGUCAGACUUAGUACUCAUUUCCCUUGGUUAGGUUGGACCAGAAUGUACUAUGGGUCUGGAGGCUGCGUGGAUCUUUUGAAUAUAAGCAUCCCUUGCAACGUAAGGUUGUUACAGUAUCCUCAAGCUAGAAGAAGCUAGCUUCCUCAGAGAGGGGUUGAGGAGAAGUAUUUGCUGGUGAGGAAGUCUUAAAGGAAUUUAUGGGGAGGUUCAGAUACUCAGAUUCAUCUGAAUCCACCCAAAUUUCUUCAUUCCAAUUCUCAGGGAAUCAUUCCUUUUCUAUUAAUGAUCUAACACUCACAUAAGAAAUUGAUAAGGGUGAGAAAUCAAAUUGAUUCAUAAAAUAAAGAUAUUAUUUUAUGGUAAUCAUAGAAUUCCCUUUCUUAGCUGCUCUUAACUGUACUGGAGGUGUUUAUUUGUAUUCUACCAAUUCUCUAAUGUAAUCAAAAUAGGUAGCAUACUCCAUAGUGCCAAUAGCGAUAUUCCCACCAUGAGUCUUUUGAAGAAGCCACUUGGUUUCCCAAAGUUUUCUAUUUGACAGGCACAUAAUUCCAGGGACCAUUUGGGGCUUAAGACUUACCAAAAAAAAAGUCCUCAUUGUGGAUACUAUUGUAGGUUUUAGUGGAUAAUGAAAGUAUUUUAAGUAAAUGCCAGUGUUCAAUUCAUCAUCUCUACCCAGAAGUGACAUAUCUCAGUAUGUUGAGUUUUGUAGGCAAUUUAUCUUUUGGCUUAGAUACUCUGCUUACAAUCAGAAUUUUACCACCAGGAAGUGAGGCUUUGGCUUUGAAGAGGCACAAUGUAAAGUGUUUGACUAAGUGUGAAUAUCAGAGAAAGCCCAAAUUUCUUGUAUACUGAUUAUAAUGCAUUAAUUAAAAUGUGCUGUCAUUUAAAAAGCAAAGUCACAGUUGCUGAGCAGAAAAUGGGAGGUUAAGCAAUACAAUUUGUGUCUUUAUUACCAUCCUCAAGGAUCAUCAAAGACUUCCUUAUGAUGUUCUUGAAGGCUCUGAGCUUGCUGACUGUGUACCCUUUGUCUUACUCUACCAGGUUCAUUCUUUUUCUGACCAAUUUAAGGCUUCAAAAGAUUAUAAACAGUGCAUUUCAGGAGAAAAAAA